This 253-nucleotide ribosomal RNA is filed under the name uncultured bacterium. RNAcentral describes it as "partial 16S ribosomal RNA". It matches the Rfam family "Bacterial small subunit ribosomal RNA", at positions 524 to 776 of the family's 1533-position model. The record is from RNAcentral.
UACGUAGGCAGCAAGCGUUGUUCGGAAUUACUGGGCGUAAAGAGUGUGUAGGCGGUGCUCCAAGUGUCUUGUGAAAUCCCACGGCUCACCCGUGGAACUGCUGGGCAUACUGGGCGUCUUGGGCCAACUAGGGGCAGCCGGAACAAGCGGUGGAGCGGUGAAAUGCGUAGAUAUCGCUUGGAACGCCGAAGGUGAAAACAGGCUGCUGGGGUUGCGCCGACGCUGAGACACGAAAGCCAGGGGAGCAAACGGG